Long non-coding RNA from Alnus glutinosa, 514 nucleotides. RefSeq lists it as uncharacterized. The record is from RefSeq and is a predicted model, not a curated record. The transcript is spliced from 3 exons. Lineage: Eukaryota; Viridiplantae; Streptophyta; Magnoliopsida; Fagales; Betulaceae.
AUUGACAGAUUAUCGGAAUUGCCAAAACCAGUUGUAAAACACAUCCUAUCAUUCAUCCCCUUAAAAAAAAUACUUCAACUCAGUACAUUGUCCAAGAGAUGGCAAAAGAGUUUGAUUGCUCCAAAAGAAUUGAGAGAAACACUUUCAUCCCCAUUAUAUAAUGUCAAGCAAUUGAUGUUAAAGGUAUUGUAUCGACGUCCGAGAGAUGAGAUCAUCGAACUUGUAGAUUCCUUGUUAUGGAUUUAUCCUCUUCUAGAGAUUCUUUUUAUAGAAUGGGAGAAGACAGGUGACAAUAUAUCUUUCAAGUUCUUAUACGAAACUCCUGUUUACAAAUCAAAAAAUCCAAGUUGUUGCAAAUUUCUUCCAGUUCCGUGUUGGCGACAUUGCUUAAAGACUAUCAAGAUUGAUGAGUUUGGAAGAUCUUCAGAUGUCAAAGCUCUAAAGAAAUAUUUCCGUAAAAAUGCAGAAAUAUUAGAGAGCAUCCUAUAAUUUCAAGGACGUAGAGGAUUUGCAA